This 407-nucleotide ribosomal RNA is filed under the name uncultured bacterium. RNAcentral's name for it is "partial 16S ribosomal RNA". It matches the Rfam family "Bacterial small subunit ribosomal RNA", at positions 30 to 526 of the family's 1533-position model. The record is from RNAcentral.
AUUGAACGCUGGCGGCAGGCCUAACACAUGCAAGUCGAGCGGAGCGGCGGACGGGUGAGUAAUGCCUAGGAAUCUGCCUGGUAGUGGGGGAUAACGUACGGAAACGGGCGCUAAUACCGCAUACUAUCAGAUGAGCCUAGGUCGGAUUAGCUAGUUGGUGGGGUAACGGCCUACCAAGGAGACGAGCCGUAACUGGUCUGAGAGGAGGAUCAGUCACACGGGAACUUAGACAGGGUCCAGACUCCUGAGGGAGGCAGCAGGUGGGAAUAUUGGACAAUGGGCGAAAGCCUGAUCCAGCCAUGCUGCUUGUGUGAAGAAGGUCUUCGGAUUGUAAAGCACUUUAAGUUGGGAGGCGUUACCAACAGAAUAAGCACCGGCUAACUUCGUGCCAGCAGCCGCGGUAAUAC